Molecule: non-coding RNA, 688 nt
Organism: Microcebus murinus (gray mouse lemur)
Lineage: Eukaryota; Metazoa; Chordata; Mammalia; Primates; Cheirogaleidae
Source: RefSeq, a predicted model, not a curated record
UCCAGGUGCACGGGAAGCGCGGGGAGUUGCCCAGCGCUCUGGGUCCCGGACGGAACCUCGAGGGUGCCGUGAGCAGUAGCCACAGCGCGGCUUCAGAGUUUGCCACAGAGUCCGACCCAUGGUACUUCCCCGAUCGAAGGUGAACUCCGAAACAGCUUAGCAGCAGCCUCGGAUCCCCGUGAAGAGCUGGAACAGAGCGGUUCCGGGCGGCCCGGCGCCUGCGCCGCUGGUGCUAGCCCACACUCCCACCGCGCUUCGCUUUUUCUAUGAGGUUAGACGUAUUUUAAGGUGAUUAAAAUAUUGGAAUGUACCUCUGAGAAAACCACCAGAGAAUUAGGUGAAGAGAGUAUCCCUAAAGAAGACGGAAGGAAUUUCCAGAGACUAGGAAGUAAAACAUUCAGAAGGUGACUUCAGUGGCAAGAGAGCCAUCACAAUGAAUUGGAAAGGGAUGAGUAAAGCCUUGAUCACGAUGUCUGGAGCUGCAGCGUCUGUCAUCAGGAGUCAACCACAAGGAUCCAUGGCUCCAAAGCCUGCAGCCAGGAAGGCUUUGUGGAGCAGCAAGAGAGCCAAGCGUGGACACCUACCCCUGGACUUCUUGUUUUGUGAGAAAAGUAAACUACUUUUGGCUUAAGUUGCUAUCAGUAGAGUUCUCUGACACUUGUAAUCAAAUGCAUUUCUAACCAAUACU